RNAcentral lists this unclassified non-coding RNA (200 nucleotides) under soil metagenome. Its description in RNAcentral is "partial contains internal transcribed spacer 2 and large subunit ribosomal RNA". The record is from RNAcentral.
AUGCCUGUUCGAGCGUCAUUUCAACCCUCAAGCCCGGCUUGGUGUUGGGCCCCGCCGUCCGCGGCCGGCCCUAAAGACAGUGGCGGCACCGCAUGGCCCUGAGCGUAGUACAUCUCUCGCUCCAGGCCCCGCGGUGGCCUGCCAGAACCCCCAACUCUGUGGUUGACCUCGGAUCAGGUAGGGAUACCCGCUGAACUUAA